RNAcentral lists this long non-coding RNA (1060 nucleotides) under Bos indicus x Bos taurus (hybrid cattle). RNAcentral describes it as "lncRNA (ENSBIXG00005028223.1)". Lineage: Eukaryota; Metazoa; Chordata; Mammalia; Artiodactyla; Bovidae. The record is from RNAcentral.
CAGCACGUGGGGUCACCAGGCAGCCCCGGGGCCCCGGCAGGACUCACCCAGACCUCGGCAUCCCACGCGGGUCUAGGUGCCCAACCUUCCUGGGCCUGGACAGACGAGGUAGGAAGCCAGCCCUCUGCCUGGGGGGCUGGGGUAGAGCAGGAGACCCCUCCCCGGCUCUCAGGGGCUGGGCCCACUCACCCCCUCUCAGAUCCCCAUCUGCCAACCGACUCUGGAGCUGGGGCAUCCGGCUGGUGCCCGUCAGGCAUGUUCCCUCCACCGGCUACAGAGAAGCGCUUUGCAGUCCACAGUUACCUUAAAUACGUGUACAUUAAGUCUCCACUCGAUUUCUAGAAAUCCACACACGCUUUAAAGGGUUGGAAACACUCUGGGAAGUCUCCAAAGACAGCUUCGGGAUCACCAACCCAGAAUAAGAAACAGCCAAAGUCACUUGGGGGUGCUUCCACGCCUCCCCCCACCCCCAGGAUUCCUGUGGCUGGAGCCAGGCUUCCCAUCGGAAGGGAGUUGUUGCUGUUGUCCAGUCGCUCAGUCGUGUACGACUCUUUGCGACCCCAUGGACUGCAGCAUGCUGGGCCUCCGUGUCCAUCACCAUCUCCUGGAGUUCGCCCAAGUUCAUGUCCAUUGAGUCGGUGAUGCCAUCCAAGCAUCUCAUCCUCUGCCGCCCUCUUGUCCUUCUGCCCUGGAUCUUCCCUGGCAGGAAGGGCGGACCCUCUGCUGAUCUGUGGGACCGGGACUGCGAUCCCUGCAGGCGAUUCUCCAAUCCUGGGAGAUCACCGGUUGUAGAGGCAGAACAUCUGAAGAUCGGUAUGCAAGAAUGGCAGGUAAUGUUGGCAGUAAGUUGGUUCAUCUUGAUAUAUUUGCUAUUUUUCUUCUCUCUCUCUCAUCCUCUGAACUGUAUUUCUCCUCUACAUGCCUAUAAUGAAAAGCAACUAAGGUUCAUAGAACCCAUGGGUCCAGAUGAAAAUGUCCCUCCAGGUGGAAGAAACACAGGAGCUUUCUGACUCAGAGCCCCGGGGAGCAAAUGGCAGGGGACCCAGAAGGUGAGCUGUCU